CGCAGCCGCGGUAAUUCCAGCUCCAAUAGCGUAUAUUAAAGUUGUUGCAGUUAAAAAGCUCGUAGUUGAAUUUCGGGAUCAAUACGUCGGUCGUGCUUCGGUACGUACUGGCGUCAUUGGUUUCUCCCUUCUGACGAACCAUGAUGUCAUUAACUUGGUGUCAUGGGAAAUCAGGACUGUUACUUUGAAAAAAUUAGAGUGUUUAAAGCAGGCUCACGCUUGAAUACAUUAGCAUGGAAUAAUGAAAUAGGACGUUCGAUCCUAUUUUGUUGGUUUCUAGGAUCAACGUAAUGAUUAAUAGGGAUAGUUGGGGGCAUUAGUAUUCAAUUGUCAGAGGUGAAAUUCUUGGAUUUAUUGAAGACUAACUACUGCGAAAGCAUUUGCCAAGGAUGUUUUCAUUAAUCAAGAACGAAAGUUAGGGGAUCGAAGACGAUCAGAUACCGUCGUAGUCUUAACCAUAAACUAUGCCGACUAGGGAUCGGAUGAUGUUAAUUUUUAAUGACUCAUUCGGCGCCUUAAC
RNAcentral lists this ribosomal RNA (520 nucleotides) under uncultured Glomus. Its description in RNAcentral is "SSU rRNA". It matches the Rfam family "Eukaryotic small subunit ribosomal RNA", at positions 569 to 1092 of the family's 1831-position model. Lineage: Eukaryota; Fungi; Glomeromycota; Glomeromycetes; Glomerales; Glomeraceae. The record is from RNAcentral.